GGGACACCGGGCCAUGCACGCCCCCAACUGAAGCUGCAUCUCAAAGCCGAAGAUUCCAGCAGCCCAGGGGAUUUCAAAGAGCUCAGACUCAGAGGAACAUCUGCGGAGAGACCCCCGAAGCCCUCUCCAGGGCAGUCCUCAUCCAGACGCUCCGCUAGUGCAGACAGGAGCGCGCAGUGGCCCCGGCUCGCCGCGCCAUGGAGCGGAUCCCCAGCGCGCAACCACCCCCCGCCUGCCUGCCCAAAGCACCGGGACUGGAGCACGGAGACCUACCAGGGAUGUACCCUGCCCACAUGUACCAAGUGUACAAGUCAAGACGGGGAAUAAAGCGGAGCGAGGACAGCAAGGAGACCUACAAAUUGCCGCACCGGCUCAUCGAGAAAAAGAGACGUGACCGGAUUAACGAGUGCAUCGCCCAGCUGAAGGAUCUCC
Molecule: long non-coding RNA, 432 nt
Filed under: Homo sapiens (human)
Lineage: Eukaryota; Metazoa; Chordata; Mammalia; Primates; Hominidae
Description: long non-coding RNA NONHSAT193408.1
Source: RNAcentral